UAACUUUAUUUAGAUAAUUCGAUCAGUUUUCGAUUCUAAACGAAUUAUCGAUGUGUACGGUUACUCAUUUUCAUUCAUUUUUAGUCUGUGGUUGCAAUAUUGUUUCUGCACAACAUUAAAGAAAUUAAAGAAUAGGAAACGUCAAAAUCCGUCAAAAUUAGCAUUUUAUUUUUCUCUGUGGAUCUAAAUUUUUGUUUUCAUUUAGUUUUUAUUAAAAAUUGUGAUUAAAUCAUGGAUAAAUUGAAUGAAUGUUACGUAUAUAGUUUACUUAAGAAUGUUGUUCGUGGACCACAAGGCGUUUGUGCGUGUUUUUAACUGUUUUAUCAUCGGAAAAAGUGUUAACAAAGUUACGUGUUGGCGAAAAGGUGUGUUUGUUUAUGUUUUGGAUCAAUUUAACCGGAACGGACUUUUUUUAUCUCGAUUUUUGCUAUUAAUAAUGAGACCACGGACUGAAUACGGAAUCCACGAAUCUCUCUAAAUUGAGAUGUGUUAAUUGUGGCAUCAAUGUAAAUUAAAGGAAUAGGCAUAAUAGCCUUGAAUUGGUAGAGGUUAUGUUAGUAAUAUAACACUGGAUUGCACCCCAAGUGCAGGUGACUGAGACUACCAGUGUGCCUUUUUUGUUGGACUCCUAGUCACUCCAAUGGGACUAAUGAUGAUUAACCUACUAGUGAUUGACCAUUGUCGUCUUUCUAUUAGCUGUGGAUGCUCUUCGAUGAGAACAAGAUUUCACAAGCUACAUACUGACCUAGAAAUUUGAGACAUGCAUAUAUAUCAUAAUAAUGGAGAUGAUUAUACCAUAACAGCUGCAUGGAUCUGAUGAAAUCUGUCACCCCUGUUGGAAGAGAAGUAAUCGAUUGAAAGCACAUACUCUUGAGCCACCUGGAUCAUCAAUUAUUGUUCUACCGAACUUGAAAAGAGGACCAGAUACCCAAGUGCAUUGUUUUUUUCCAGACUGUAACUCACCACAAAGAUUAUUAUUAAUUCCUAAAUGGUUAAGGUUGAAGCUUUUUACAGAUUUUAUGUUCUAGCAAAUUGUAGGAUUUGUUCAUGCUAUGUACAAAAUGAUAAUUGGCAGCAAUUAUCUGAUAUUCCACAAUCAAUAUAUUUUGUAAAUAUUUUAAUGUAAAUAAUAUACCAGGCAGACAAGCUAUAACACAACUGCUGUAAUUGCAUUGUGUCAUCGAUAGACAGUAGAUGGGUGCCCAUGUCAUAACUAUUAUUAGGUAUAUGAGCUGGGUGAAGUAUCAAGAAAACUUGAAUUCAUUUGUUCAAUUGUUCUUAGAUAACGUUUCAUUAACAUGUUCAAACUUAGAUUAAUAAAAAAAUAUAAAA
Molecule: long non-coding RNA, 1332 nt
Organism: Maniola jurtina (meadow brown)
Lineage: Eukaryota; Metazoa; Arthropoda; Insecta; Lepidoptera; Nymphalidae
Exons: 3
Source: RefSeq, a predicted model, not a curated record